This 524-nucleotide ribosomal RNA is filed under the name uncultured bacterium. RNAcentral's name for it is "partial 16S ribosomal RNA". It matches the Rfam family "Bacterial small subunit ribosomal RNA", at positions 34 to 540 of the family's 1533-position model. The record is from RNAcentral.
UUGAACGCUGGCGGCAGGCCUAACACAUGCAAGUCGAGCGGAUGAAGGGAGCUUGCUCCUGGAUUCAGCGGCGGACGGGUGAGUAAUGCCUAGGAAUCUGCCUGGUAGUGGGGGAUAACGUCCGGAAACGGGCGCUAAUACCGCAUACGUCCUGAGGGAGAAAGUGGGGGAUCUUCGGACCUCACGCUAUCAGAUGAGCCUAGGUCGGAUUAGCUAGUUGGUGGGGUAAAGGCCUACCAAGGCGACGAUCCGUAACUGGUCUGAGAGGAUGAUCAGUCACACAGCAAUGGUGCGGCAGCCAAGAUUCGUAGGGGAUGAAGGAGGGGGGAAUGGUGGACAAGGGCGAGAUGUGUAAUACGGCGGUGCCGGGUGUGUGAAGAAGGUCUUGGGAUUGUAAAGUAGUUAGAGUGGGGAUGAAGCGCAAUAAGUUAAGACGUGGCUGUGAGGACGUUACCAACAGAAGAAGCACCGGCUAACGGCGGGCAAGCAGCCGCGGUAAGAGUAGGAGUAGCAAACGACUGAAC